GGGCACAUGGUGUAGUUGGUUAUCACGCUCGCUUAGCAUGUCAUAGACUGAUUUGCGAGAGGUGUUGGGUUCAAUUCCCAAUGCGUCCA
This 89-nucleotide transfer RNA is filed under the name Agrocybe pediades. It matches the Rfam family "tRNA". Rfam says of the family: Transfer RNA (tRNA) molecules are approximately 80 nucleotides in length. Their secondary structure includes four short double-helical elements and three loops (D, anti-codon, and T loops). Lineage: Eukaryota; Fungi; Basidiomycota; Agaricomycetes; Agaricales; Agrocybaceae. The record is from Rfam by way of RNAcentral.